Molecule: long non-coding RNA, 2648 nt
Organism: Pseudophryne corroboree (corroboree frog)
Lineage: Eukaryota; Metazoa; Chordata; Amphibia; Anura; Myobatrachidae
Exons: 3
Source: RefSeq, a predicted model, not a curated record
AGGGGUUUUCAGCAGCCAUGGGAAGAAGACUAAUAGAUGCAGAACGUGAGUGUCUCAGAUAUCACACAGUGUCCCCAUUGCCUGGAUGUCAUGUUGGAAGUGGAACCCGUGUCAAUGAAAAUGUGCAGUCAUGUGUUUCCUAGAGAAGGGCCCAGUGUCGGACUGGGGCAUUUAGGGCCCACCGGGGGAAUGCAAUGCCCCACAGGUCUUAAGGACUGGGAAUAGAAGAGUCACCAUUAAUUUAAAGAUGUGACUUGUGCUCCAUCAUAGCAUUAAUUCCUAGACUGCCAUGAAUCAUACUGGUGAGUGAUGAGCGGCUUUCAUUUUCUUGUACAUCAGCAGAUAACUGGAGAGAAAAGGAGUUUUUCCAGAGGCUGCAUUUAUCAGCUCAUGAUCAUUGGUGUUUAUUUGAGCUACUCAAAAAAUCAAAUGAAUGAAGAUUUAACCUUUUGGAUCCUCUCCUCUAUAAAAUAUAUGACAGAUGUUUUUUCCACAGCAUAUGAAUAAAUAUAUGUGUAUUGUACAUAAUGUUGCCCUAUGAAAUAUGGGGAUAUUAGAUGACACGGAGGCAUUAUGUAUGUUGAGGGCUGUGUACAGGUGAACACCAUGGGAGGAAUCCAAAUAUCUUGGAGACUCCACCGCGUGCGAUGUGGGCUGCACUCUAAUCUGCAAUUAUGGUUGAGCCACGUUUGCUGGUUUUGGUAAUCACACUGGAAUAGCCCUGUUUUAGGCCGUUGUCAUUGACUGACUGGGAUAAUUGAGUAGAUUUCGAGCAUUAACCCAUGAAAGUACACAAGCUGUGAUGUCUGGCAGAACCUAAAGUUUAACUGAAUCCCACCAAUGUGUAUUGAGUUAACAAAUAUUACUACUCUCGAAACAUGAGGAUUUAACUUGUAUCAUACAGGUUGAGUCUCCCUUAUCCAAAAUGCUUGGGACCAGAGGUAUUUUGGAUAUCGGAUUUUUCCGUAUUUUGGAAUAAUUGCAUACCAUAAUGAGAUAUCAUGGUGAUGGGACCUAAAGCUAAGCACAGAAUGCAUUUAUGUUUCAUAUACACAUUAUACAAACUGUCUGAAGGUAAUUUUAGCCAAUAUUUUUUAUAACUUUGUGCAUUAAACAAAGUGUGUGUACAUUCACACAAUUCAUUAAUGUUUCAUAUACACCUUAUACACACAGCCUGAAGGUCAUUUAAUACAAUAUUUUUAAUAACUUUGUCUAUUAAACAAACUUUGUGUACAUUAAGCCAUCAAAAAACAAAGGUUUCACUAUCUCAGUCUCACUCAAAAAAGUCUGUAUUUCGGAAUAGUCCGUAUUUCGGAAUAUUUGGAUAUGGGAUACUCAACCUGUAUAAACAUAUACAAGAUAAGUUUUAUUUUAUAGAAAAUAAAUUCUCAGGACGUGAUCUCAAGGUGUGUAUUUCUGUAGUGUAAUAAUUCAGAUUGUGUUUCACGGGUUACCACUGUAUGUGCAAGGUCUGUGUUUCAUGGCAUGGUCUGUGCAAGCCUGGUCUUGGCAUGGUCUACGAGUGCUCUGUCAUGUUUUCAUUGGGAUGGUCUCUGUCAGUAAUCUUGUUUUACAUGGGUUUGUCUGUGAAAGCCCUGUAAUCUUUUCUUAGGGUGGUCUUCACGAAAUGUCAUUUUUUCAUGGGUUUUGUUCUGUGACAGCUCGGUCAUGUCUUCAUAGUCUGUGAGAUCUUUGUCGUUAUUUCAUAUGGUGGUCUGUGAGAAGUUUGUCAUGCUUUUAUGUGGAGGUCUGCGAAGGCCUUGCUAUGUUUGCAUGGGAUAUGGUCUAGGAAGACCCAAUAUUUCACGAAUUGAUCUGUUAAUGCAAACACUAUGAAGUCUUCAUUGAUCUGUGUCAUUCCUGACACACACACACACACACACACACACACACACACACACACACACACACACACACACACACACACACACAUAUAUAGUUCAUGUGAUGGCCUAUGUGAGUCUUACACUUCCUGGGGUAGUCGGUAAGAGUCCUGUUAUGUUUCCAUAUGAUGGCAUGUGAAAGAGAUUCCUGUCAUGUUUAGGGGUCUAUUCAUGAAGCAGUGAAAAGUUUGUAGAAGUGAGUCAGUGGAGAAGUUGCCUAUGGCAACCAUUCAGCUGCUCUGUAUAAUUUUAUAGUAUGCAAAUUAUAAAUGUUACUUCAAUGCUGAAUGGUUGCCAUGGGCAACUUCUCCACUGGCACACUUCUCCAUACUUUUCACUGCUUCAUGAAUAGACCACUUAGUCUACAGAUAUUUCUCCAAACACUGUGGCUUCAUUUGUGCUUAACAGCCCCUCUCUGCACGCCAGAUGCCAGGGUUUUAUGGGGUACCCAGGUCCUCUUCUGUAUUUCCUGGGGUGGCUCAGGUGUGCCCUGGCAUGUUUCAUGGGGUGAACAGUAUGAGUACUGUGGGUGUUAUAUUGUGCCUGUUAGAUAAUACUGUCAGUGAGAACCUCUGGAUACGAAAAAGGGCACAGGAGCAAUCAUACACAAUGGGAGCUAGAAGACAACUGGCUGUGGAGCAGCUAGUGAUGAUGUAUAAUGACAUCCCAUACAACAGUCUGUGUGGUGGCUGCAGAGGCCACUCUAUUUACAGAACAAAGUUCACUGUAUGGUAUAAAAUUGGUAUUUGGUUAAAAAAAGAUAUU